Molecule: ribosomal RNA, 492 nt
Filed under: uncultured bacterium
Lineage: Bacteria
Description: partial 16S ribosomal RNA
Rfam family: Bacterial small subunit ribosomal RNA
Source: RNAcentral
AGUGAACGCUGGCGGUAGGCCUAACACAUGCAAGUCGAACGGCAGCACAGUAAGAGCUUGCUCUUACGGGUGGCGAGUGGCGGACGGGUGAGGAAUACAUCGGAAUCUACUUUUUCGGGGGGGAUAACGUAGGGAAACUUACGCUAAUACCGCAUACGACAUACGUGAGAAAGCAGGGGAUCUUCGGACCUUGCGCGAAUGAAUGAGCCGAUGUCGGAUUAGCUAGUUGGCGGGGUAAAGGCCCACCAAGGCGACGAUCCGUAGCAGGUCUGAGAGGAUGAUCAGCCACACUGGAACUGGGACACGGUCCAGACUCCUACGGGAGGCAGCAGUGGGGAAUAUUGGACAAUGGGCGCAAGCCUGAUCCAGCCAUACCGCGUGGGUGAAGAAGGCCUUCGGGUUGUAAAGCCCUUUUGUUGGGAAAGAAAAGCAGCAGGUUAAUACCCCGCUGUUCUGACGGUACCCAAAGAAUAAGCACCGGCUAACUUCGUG